RNAcentral lists this transfer RNA (67 nucleotides) under Cysteochila lineata. Its description in RNAcentral is "tRNA-Gly". The record is from RNAcentral. Lineage: Eukaryota; Metazoa; Arthropoda; Insecta; Hemiptera; Tingidae.
UACUCUUUUAGUAUAAAUUAUUAUUCUUAAUUUCCACUUAAGAAAUCUCUAAAAAGAGAAAGAGUAG